GCUUUUGUUCAUAUUCCAUGUUAUUACAGCUUCUCCCAACAAACUAGGAAGGUUAUGCAUGCCGUGAGGGACUCAAAAUCUGCAAGGUUUCAUCCUCCACUUCAUUUAUUCAUUUCUUUUGCAGAUGUAUGACAACUAGAAGAUGCCUUAUUCCAUCCAUCCAUUCAUUUAUAUGCCUUGUUCCAUCCAUCCAUUCAUUUAUCACCAAAAUCCAAGCACCUGAUCAGCCACCAAUGGGAUUCAAGGUAAAACGGCCUACUUUUGUUAUCCUCAUUUUGCAUGGAUUGCAUGCAGACUUUCCUUUAUCAACCUGAAUGAAUUUUCCACUUGUGGUAUGCUUUAUCCGUUUCUCCUUAUAUUUAUUUUCCCCUCUUUGGUAAUCUUCUCUAGCAAUUGUUCUCUCAAAUUAAAUGUAUAAAAACAUGUACAAAUUGAAACCUCCAUUUUAGACCAAUCCUUGUUUAUGCCAUUUUUGUAAAAUAUGUUUCCUUUGCUAUAGUCAAUUCCUUGAAUCACUCUACGAGGCUCAAAACUCCUAUAUGAUUAUUUGACUUGGGGUUGUAACUAUUACAUUUGCCUUCAAUUCUGUCUAGUUUUCCACAGGGAUUUUGCGAGAUAUUGUUCCAUUUGAUCCAUCUACAUCCAUGUCUUUUCUGUUCUAUCAACUGUGUAAAUCUUUAAUGUGGAUAGGUUUGAUUUAUAUCAUCUUCAUAGCAUGUGGGUAUGUUGAGGGCAGAGCAGAGCAAUGUACUAUUUUCUAUUCCUGAGAACUGAAAAUAUGCCCAGAAAACAUGUUUGGUACCGCAUUUUUUCAUGCUUUUAUUUUCAGUCUCUUUAAGAAAAUUUAAGUUCUGGAAUCUUCGUAAUGUUUUGAGGAUUGGGAAUCAGGUGAUGGUAUCUAUUUUCGCAGGAUGACUGAAUUGAUUUGUUGUCAUAGCAGGUAGGGUUUUUUCUCUGUUCAGUCUAGUUGAAGAUGACUUUUGAUGGUGGGGGGUAACGGGAAUUAUAGGGCCUCUUUGGUAACAGUUUUUGAGAACGGUUCUCAAAGAACAAUUAUUAGAAGCAGUUUUCAACUGUUUUCAAGAACAAAAUUUGUUUAAAAGCUCAAAUUGUUUUUUCUUUGUACUAAAGAACAUGCAACUGUUUUCAAGAUCACUUACCAAACAGACCCCAAGACUUUGUCUUUGAGGUUGAAACAAAAUGUGAUGACAGUAAAGGGUGAGAGUAUUGUAACGUUGUACUCGGUGAUACGUGUAAAUGGGUGGAUUUGAUUGUAUAAUAAGGGUGUGUUUGGGAGGCUUUUUAUUUGAAGCAUUUUCUUUAGAAACGUUUUUAGUCUUGUCGAGAGCUAUAAAUGAUUUUUAAUUUUUAAAAAUACCUAAUUUUUUUUCUUUCAAAAACCUUUUUGUACGUUAGAAAUAUUUUAAAAAAUAAUUAUGUUAAUAUUUUCUAGGAAUUUGUCCCUUGUUACUAUUAUCAUGGAUUCGAUGGGGAAAAAGUUGAUGUGUGAAGGAAAACGAUUUGGAUGAGAGUGCUCUUGAUAAACACGUUCAUUUGAGAGUGAUUUUAAGAUGGAGCAAAAGCAUUUCAUAAUGUUUAGAAACGCUUUCUUAGGUGUUUGAUAAAUUUUUAAAAAUUCAAAGAAUGAUUUGAAAUGAUAUUCAUAAACAACGAUUUAGAUCAUUUUUACAAAAAUCACCUUUGAUUAUAUACAAAGUAUUAAAAAAUAUAUUAUCCUAACAUUGAUUCCUCAACUGUUUUUAAUGGAAGCAUUGAUAACAAAAAUACAUUAGAUCACUAAAUCUUUCGACUGGACUGUAGAGUAAAAAUGUUUUUAUCCUUUCUACUAUUUGAAAAUUUUUAUGUAAUAGAAAAUUUUUAUUUUAGAAAUAUUAAAAAUACUUUUUAAAAUCAACGGCAAACAUGCUCUUCUGUUUGGUAAUUUAAAAAACACUUUUUAGUACAAAAGUGUCUUUGAAGAAAAAUAAGCAUUUCGCAAUUUAAAAAAGGUUAAAAAAGAUAGUGUUUUUUUAAGAACAUUGGAUAAAUAAUUCUUUUAAAAAUAUCUAUAAAAAAUGUUUUCACUAUUCAAAUAUAAAUACUCUUAAGGCACGUUUAUUUUCUCUAGAAACAUUUUUUUCAAAAGAAUUGCUUACCAAAUACUACUACAAAAAGCACUCUAUAAAUGAUUUUUUUAACUUUUUAGAAGUGUUUAAUAAAUUUUAUUGAUUUUUUUUCCAAAAAAAACCUUUUUAUACUGAGGGUGUUCUCUAAAAGCAUCGUUAAACAAACUCUUAUAAGGUUGCAGAAAGCUUCUAAUCAAAAUUCAAAGUUUCAACCAUUUAAAGAAGCAUUCAACAAAAAAAUCAAUCGCAAGUUUCGAUCCAACAAGGCGACCCGCAAAAGCGAAAACGACUAUGUUGUUGCUUUUCUGGAUUUGCAUUAGGUUUUUGAAGUUAAUUGUUCAAGGGUUAACAUAAAUGCGAUUCUAAUAAACAAAGACCUAUUCCAUAUUUCAGUGAUAAGCUUAAUCAUACAAAUAAGAGCUCAAUAAUCAGCCUACCGCCAUGAGUUCCAAGUAGUAUUAUUUCAUUUGUAAUAUCACAAGAAUGCAGCAAGAAUCUAUUUGUAUAAGGAGUUUUAGGUUACCUCUUCAAGUAGCUUUGCUGAAAGAAUUCUUUCAAUGACAAGAUGUAGCGAUGUAGUCCAUGGAUCAGACCAUGACUUGGUUUCUGAAUACCAGCUAUCAGCCCCCGAUAAUCUGACAAUGUGGCAUCAGACAAUGGCUCCAAGAACUCGCAGUGAGCCAAAAUUUCAGGUGGGGGCAUUCCAGCAAUGAGGUUGGUUUCCAGUUUUGGUUUCCCCUUGGUGAGCUCUCUAGGGGCUUCAACUGAGGCACAUUCAAUUGCAGAGGGGGAUGCACCGGGGAUUACUUCCUCUGUGAAAGGAAAAGCUCUUGCAGCUUGCAAGCAGAACUCUAUCCAUUGAUGGAUUACUGGAGAUGGCCCUCUGACUCGGCCCCCGAUUUGGCGGCUUCUUUCAAGUUUUGAAGUAGAUGGGAUUGCCUGCAGAAAGGAUACAGCAGAAUAUCCUAGUAAAUACACUAGUACACCAUGGAACAUAGACCAGCAUAGGAUAUCCAAAUCAGCUGAAAUAUCAAAACAGAUUCCAAUUCUCAUUAUAUUUAUCAUUAACCUGGUUCUUUCCUCAAUUUUUUUUUUCUUUUUCUUUUUAGAGCAUUAUUGAUAUAUUAGGGUUUUUGUUUUUCUUUUUUAUAGGCGAAGAUCAACACACUGUGAAGAAAGAAAGUAAAUGCAUAGUAUUAUGAGAUGAAAUCAGGACAUACCCAAAGAUCUGCCCAUAAGCUAGCUCCAGACUUAGGAACAAUUACUGCAACAUUAGACAUGCGUUUGGCUGCAGGAAGGACAUCACUACUCCACCCAACAGCCACCCAUACAUCUCCCACACUAAGUGCUUUUAUAUAGUGUGUGCUGUCAAAGCAUCGUACCUAUAUAAAGCCAUUUGAAUGCGUAAGUCCCAUUAUUGAUAUAAAAAAUAACAACCAUUGUACCACUCCAAAUGCAAAAUAGCUUUUAUGGAAUUCAAUUUCUUUUUGUUUUUCCUUUUUGACAGCACAAAAAUGGUAAGUUACCCUUACAUAAGCCAUAACUCACAAGUUGUAUCAGACUGAUUACCGUAGUUUACAAAAUCCGGUAGAAUUGACUCAGAGACUCAAAGUUAAUACAUAACAUAUCAAGUCCCAGAGCAAUACCAUCCAGUUAUUUUUGGUUAAUCACAUGAUAUUUAUUUCUUCUAUUUUAUGUUUUUUUUCCUUUUUCCUUUCUUUUCUCCAUUUCUUUGAUGAACUCACGGCUCUCAUCCUGGAUGUAAGAAAUAUCUAGCCAAUGAACAAUACUUAUUAUUGCAUGAGCGUCAGAUAAAACAACCGACAUAAUCUCAAUACCUGUUUCGCAAGCAACAUAAGAUUCUGCUGUACAGCAUUCCUCCCACCAUUAACUUGCAAUUCAAUGUUGUCUGUGUUGUAGGAUGCUCCCAUGUACUUUAAAACAGCACCAACAACCUCUCGUGGAGAAUCAAUCAUUGAAAUCCUCCCUGCAAGUUCAGGUCGCCAUAAAUCUGCCCAGUCCUGCAACCAUCAACUACUUAGUCCCAGAAUAAUUUUUUAUAGAAAACAAAGUUUUUGAAAAAUCCAUAGCAAUAGCUAGAAGUUUUUAUAAUGAGAUGAGUUGAAGCCAUGGCAAUGACAAGCAAUUAUACGAAUUCAUGCCUUCCCAAAUAAUCGGACGAACAAAUGCAGUGGUUGUGGGGGUUCUAUAGGAGACACAAUUUGCUGUGGCAUUAUUGAAAAUAUUUAUUUAUUUAUUUUUUGAUACUUAAUAUUGUUGCUACUCUUAUUCCUUUGACUUGAAGAAAUUCAAACCUGGAAUUUCCCAAAUCCCAGUCCAACCAAUUGCCCCUUGAGCCAGGCAUUAUUGGAAGCAUUUAUGGACUGAAACAACAAUCACUUAGCUAACUUUGUGGGUACGUGAUCACAUGUUGUCCUAAGAAUUGUCCUAAGAAAGACAUCUCUUAAUGUCACCAAAAUUGUGCUUCCUAUGUUCAACUCAUUAUUGAUGUUGGAUUGAAAAUUGGUUUCUUGGAGAAUUGACAUUGGGAGGAUCUACCCCUUUGCCUUCUUUUGAUCCUUGUCAAUUUCCUUCCUCAGAACAGAGAUUUCCCAAUACCCACAAUUCUCCAUUCUGAAACUCAAACUUUCAGCUUCACCAAACUAAUCAAGAAGUUAAUGGCCUGUAUAUUCUAAUCCUUUCCUUAAACCACAUUUAUCUAUCUUCAUCCUUUCCAAAUGAAAGAAUAGGAUCCAUGGCCUUCAGUUUUUUCUAAGCUAAGCCCUACUUUUCUAGCCUUUCUAAAAGUGGCAACCCAACACUCCUUUGUCAUCACCAACUUUAUUUGAAGUCCAUGGCUAUUCCAAAAAUUGGGCCUUGGCAUAGUUUAUCUGAGAUUGAAGCUCAAGAAUGUAAAUUGUAUUUUCCAGAAAUAGAUUCCAAAAGAGGAACAGAUAAGAGAUUCUUGUUCAAAUGUUUAGUUAUCAUUAGGAAUUUGAGAUUCCCCUCUAUCUUAAUAUUUUAGUUGUAGGUUUUCUCAAUAUUAUGAGAGAAAUAGAAUUGAUAGAAAAAUUAUGAACACCCCUUCAAAACAUAUUUAUUAAUAACAAAAAGAUUUAUUUAUAGGGGAAUAAAAAUGGGGUUGUCUCUUUGAUUUUUUCCAUUUUCUAAAAUCAAGAAUAAAAUAUCAUGGGUGGAGUGGGUAGGAGAUCCAACCUUGUUUGGGAUGAACUCAUAC
Molecule: long non-coding RNA, 5364 nt
Filed under: Vitis vinifera (wine grape)
Lineage: Eukaryota; Viridiplantae; Streptophyta; Magnoliopsida; Vitales; Vitaceae
Description: long non-coding RNA (VVIN_LNC000568)
Source: RNAcentral